CCUACGGGAGGCAGCAGUGGGGAAUAUUGGACAAUGGGCGAAAGCCUGAUCCAGCAAUACCGCGUGAAUGAUGAAGGCCUUAGGGUUGUAAAGUUCUUUUAGUUGGAAAGAUAAUGACGGUACCAACAGAAAAAGCCCCGGCUAACUCCGUGCCAGCAGCCGCGGUAAGACGGAGGGGGCUAGCGUUGUUCGGAAUUACUGGGCGUAAAGGGCGCGUAGGCGGAUUAGUAAGUUGGGAGUGAAAGCCCGGGGCUUAACCUCGGAACUGCUUUCAAAACUGCUAGUCUUGAGUGAAGUAGGGGAUGAUGGAAUUCCUAGUGUAGAGGUGAAAUUCUUAGAUAUUAGGAGGAACACCGGUGGCGAAGGCGGUCAUCUGGACUUCAACUGACGCUGAGGCGCGAAAGCGUGGGGAGCAAACAGGAUUAGAUACCCUUGUAGUC
Molecule: ribosomal RNA, 440 nt
Filed under: Candidatus Megaera polyxenophila
Lineage: Bacteria; Pseudomonadati; Pseudomonadota; Alphaproteobacteria; Rickettsiales; Rickettsiaceae
Description: bacterial SSU rRNA
Rfam family: Bacterial small subunit ribosomal RNA
Source: RNAcentral